AGACAGUGCUGGCUCUGAUCUUCCUGGCAUUGCAUACAUUUAAACCUCAUCCUUCUCCUUCAGUUGCCAGGGGUUUCUAUGGGAAUAAAUUCUUUUUCAUGCUUGGGAUUUAUCUUUUCCGCAGCAGUCACACCUUCAAGGGGCAGAGGGGGCCAGAACUGCUGAACCCAUGGAACUGGCAAGAGGGAAGUGGCAGAGCUAGAGGCCCUGGGACCUUUCAUUUUACCUUUCUCUGAAAAGACUCCAUGAAAAAGGCAGGGACCAUAAAACUCCGACACAAAUGCUCCAGCAUGACCCUGCUCCUCCCCAAAGUUCCUGUUGUGACGGUGCCAUCUCGACCUGGCAGAGUGCCACCAGGACCCCUCCUGAGGUGUGCAGCUGGGUGGACAGAGCGGCCAUCAGCAGAGAGGGACGUAGAGGUGACCAGCUGGGAAGCAGAGGCCUGAAUCCAAGCACCGAGGCACAGGGCAGGGUUUGACACCCAUCCACAGCUCCAGGCUGAGGCUGUGCUGCACACAGGGCUGGUCGGGGGCAGGAGGAGAAGCAGCCUGGGGCAGAUGUGCUGGCUGCCCAGGCUGGCUGUGCAGGGCCAGCAGGAUCAAUGUGCUGUAUUGAAGGGCUCCAUGGGCAUCGGGUACCACCCCAGGCACAGGCAGGCCAGUGACGACGUGCAGAGGAGUCACAGCUAAAUUUAGCCUCAUUUGUGCGUGAGUGUGAUGUGUUUAUUCUUGCCCUUAAAUAAAAACAUUGUUGGGA
Long non-coding RNA from Melospiza melodia melodia, 756 nucleotides. RefSeq lists it as uncharacterized. The transcript has 2 exons. Lineage: Eukaryota; Metazoa; Chordata; Aves; Passeriformes; Passerellidae. The record is from RefSeq and is a predicted model, not a curated record.